UAGGGAAUCUUCGGCAAUGGACGAAAGUCUGACCGAGCAACGCCGCGUGAGUGAAGAAGGUUUUCGGAUCGUAAAACUCUGUUGUUAGAGAAGAACAAGGACGUUAGUAACUGAACAUCCCCUGACGGUAUCUAACCAGAAAGCCACGGCUAACUACGUGCCAGCAGCCGCGGUAAUACGUAGGUGGCAAGCGUUGUCCGGAUUUAUGGGCGUAAAGCGAGCGCAGGCGGUUUCUUAAGUCUGAUGUGAAAGCCCCCGGCUCAACCGGGGAGGGUCAUUGGAAACUGGGAGACUUGAGUGCAGAAGAGGAGAGUGGAAUUCCAUGUGUAGCGGUGAAAUGCGUAGAUAUAUGGAGGAACACCAGUGGCGAAGGCGGCUCUCUGGUCUGUAACUGACGCUGAGGCUCGAAAGCGUGGGGAGCAAACAGG
This 428-nucleotide ribosomal RNA is filed under the name Gemmatimonadota bacterium. Its description in RNAcentral is "Gemmatimonadetes bacterium partial 16S ribosomal RNA". It matches the Rfam family "Bacterial small subunit ribosomal RNA", at positions 355 to 776 of the family's 1533-position model. The record is from RNAcentral. Lineage: Bacteria; Pseudomonadati; Gemmatimonadota.